CUUAUCUGCAGAAGCAGCCAGCUUGCUGGAAGCGGAUGAGGGAAAGGCUUAGUGGCGGACGGGUGAGUAACGCGUGGGUAACCUGGCCCAUACAGGGGGAUAACACUUAGAAAUAGGUGCUAAUACCGCAUAACAACAGAAAGCGCAUGCUUUUUGUUUGAAAACCAAGGUGGUAUGGGAUGGACCCGCGUCUGAUUAGCUGGUUGGCGGGGUAAAGGCCCACCAAGGCGACGAUCAGUAGCCGGCCUGAGAGGGUGGACGGCCACAUUGGGACUGAGACACGGCCCAAACUCCUACGGGAGGCAGCAGUGGGGAAUAUUGCACAAUGGGGGAAACCCUGAUGCAGCGACGCCGCGUGAGUGAAGAAGUAAUUCGUUAUGUAAAGCUCUAUCAGCAGGGAAGAAAAUGACGGUACCUGAGUAAGAAGCCCCGGCUAACUACGUGCCAGCAGCCGCGGUAAUACGUAGGGGGCAAGCGUUAUCCGGAUUUACUGGGUGUAAAGGGAGCGUAGACGGCAGUGCAAGUCUGGAGUGAAAGGCGGGGGCUCAACCCCCGGACUGCUCUGGAAACUGUACGGCUGGAGUGCAGGAGAGGUAAGUGGAAUUCCUAGUGUAGCGGUGAAAUGCGUAGAUAUUAGGAGGAACACCAGUGGCGAAGGCGGCUUACUGGACUGUAACUGACGUUGAGGCUCGAAAGCGUGGGGAGCAAACAGGAUUAGAUACCCUGGUAGUCCACGCCGUAAACGAUGAUCACUAGGUGUCGGGGGUUAAAGAA
This 774-nucleotide ribosomal RNA is filed under the name uncultured bacterium. RNAcentral describes it as "bacterial SSU rRNA". It matches the Rfam family "Bacterial small subunit ribosomal RNA", at positions 50 to 836 of the family's 1533-position model. The record is from RNAcentral.